ACUAGUAGUACUGUAGGGUACAUGGUAGAGCAUUAGUAGAGCAUUAGUAGUAGGGUAAGGUAGGGUGCAUGGUAGGGCACUAGUAGUACUGUAGGGUACAUGGUAGAGCACUAGUAGUACUGUAGGGUACAUGGUAGAGCACUAGUAGUACUGUAGGGUACAUGGUAGGCCACUAGUAGUAGGGUAGGGUGCAUGGUAGGGCACUAGUAGUUCUGUAGGGUACAUGGUAGAGCACUAGUAGUACUGUAGGGUACAUGGUAGGGCACUAGUAGUACUGUAGGGUACAUGGUAGGGCACUAGUAGUACUGUAGGGUGCAUGGUAGGGCACUAGUAGUACUGUAGGGUACAUGGUAGGGCACUAGUAGUAGGGUAGCGUACAUGGUAGGGCACUAGUAGUAGGGUAGGGUACAUGGUAGGGCACUAGUAGUACUGUAGGGUACAUGGUAGGGCACUAGUAGUAGGGUAGGGUACAUGGUAGGGCACUAGUAGUACUGUAGGGUACAUGGUAGAGCAUUAGUAGAGCAUUAGUAGUAGGGUAAGGUAGGGUGCAUGGUGGAGCACUAGUAGUAGUGUAGGGUACAUGGUAGAGCAUUAGUAGAGCAUUAGUAGUAGGGUACGGUAGGGUGCAUGGUAGGGCACUAGUAGUACUGUAGGGUACAUGGUAGAGCACUAGUAGUACUGUAGGGUACAUGGUAGAGCACUAGUUGUACUGUAGGGUACAUGGUAGGCCACUAGUAGUAGGGUUGGGUGCAUGGUAGGGCACUAGUAGUACUGUAGGGUACAU
Molecule: long non-coding RNA, 784 nt
Filed under: Salmo salar (Atlantic salmon)
Lineage: Eukaryota; Metazoa; Chordata; Actinopteri; Salmoniformes; Salmonidae
Description: lncRNA (ENSSSAG00000093606.1)
Source: RNAcentral